UACUUGUAUGAUAGCUGUAAU
Molecule: non-coding RNA, 21 nt
Organism: Caenorhabditis elegans
Lineage: Eukaryota; Metazoa; Nematoda; Chromadorea; Rhabditida; Rhabditidae
Source: Ensembl